This is a non-coding RNA of Podarcis lilfordi (Lilford's wall lizard), 73 nucleotides long. The record is from the annotation of a GenBank genome assembly. NCBI's taxonomy places the organism in Eukaryota, Metazoa, Chordata, Lepidosauria, Squamata, Lacertidae.
AAUCGGAUGGCUCAUUCAGUAGAGCAUGUGAUUCUUAAUCUAAGGGUUGUGGGUUUGAACCCCACAUUGGUGA